UCUAUGUCGGCGACCGGCGCACGGGUGCGUAACGCGUAUGCAACCUACCCAUUACAGGGGGAUAACACUGAGAAAUCGGUACUAAUACCCCAUAACAUCCAGGGAGGCAUCUUCUUGGGUUGAAAACUCCGGUGGUAAUGGAUGGGCAUGCGUUGUAUUAGUUAGUUGGUGGGGUAACGGCUCACCAAGACAACGAUACAUAGGGGGACUGAGAGGUUAACCCCCCACAUUGGUACUGAGACACGGACCAAACUCCUACGGAAGGCAGCAG
This 271-nucleotide ribosomal RNA is filed under the name uncultured bacterium. Its description in RNAcentral is "partial 16S ribosomal RNA". It matches the Rfam family "Bacterial small subunit ribosomal RNA", at positions 82 to 354 of the family's 1533-position model. The record is from RNAcentral.